RNAcentral lists this ribosomal RNA (1416 nucleotides) under Klebsiella pneumoniae. RNAcentral describes it as "16S ribosomal RNA". It matches the Rfam family "Bacterial small subunit ribosomal RNA". The record is from RNAcentral. Lineage: Bacteria; Pseudomonadati; Pseudomonadota; Gammaproteobacteria; Enterobacterales; Enterobacteriaceae.
AACACAUGGCAAGUCGAGCGGUAGCACAGAGAGCUUGCUCUCGGGUGACGAGCGGCGGACGGGUGAGUAAUGUCUGGGAAACUGCCUGAUGGAGGGGGAUAACUACUGGAAACGGUAGCUAAUACCGCAUAACGUCGCAAGACCAAAGUGGGGGACCUUCGGGCCUCAUGCCAUCAGAUGUGCCCAGAUGGGAUUAGCUAGUAGGUGGGGUAACGGCUCACCUAGGCGACGAUCCCUAGCUGGUCUGAGAGGAUGACCAGCCACACUGGAACUGAGACACGGUCCAGACUCCUACGGGAGGCAGCAGUGGGGAAUAUUGCACAAUGGGCGCAAGCCUGAUGCAGCCAUGCCGCGUGUGUGAAGAAGGCCUUCGGGUUGUAAAGCACUUUCAGCGGGGAGGAAGGCGAUAAGGUUAAUAACCUUGUCGAUUGACGUUACCCGCAGAAGAAGCACCGGCUAACUCCGUGCCAGCAGCCGCGGUAAUACGGAGGGUGCAAGCGUUAAUCGGAAUUACUGGGCGUAAAGCGCACGCAGGCGGUCUGUCAAGUCGGAUGUGAAAUCCCCGGGCUCAACCUGGGAACUGCAUUCGAAACUGGCAGGCUAGAGUCUUGUAGAGGGGGGUAGAAUUCCAGGUGUAGCGGUGAAAUGCGUAGAGAUCUGGAGGAAUACCGGUGGCGAAGGCGGCCCCCUGGACAAAGACUGACGCUCAGGUGCGAAAGCGUGGGGAGCAAACAGGAUUAGAUACCCUGGUAGUCCACGCCGUAAACGAUGUCGAUUUGGAGGUUGUGCCCUUGAGGCGUGGCUUCCGGAGCUAACGCGUUAAAUCGACCGCCUGGGGAGUACGGCCGCAAGGUUAAAACUCAAAUGAAUUGACGGGGGCCCGCACAAGCGGUGGAGCAUGUGGUUUAAUUCGAUGCAACGCGAAGAACCUUACCUGGUCUUGACAUCCACAGAACUUAGCAGAGAUGCUUUGGUGCCUUCGGGAACUGUGAGACAGGUGCUGCAUGGCUGUCGUCAGCUCGUGUUGUGAAAUGUUGGGUUAAGUCCCGCAACGAGCGCAACCCUUAUCCUUUGUUGCCAGCGGUUCGGCCGGGAACUCAAAGGAGACUGCCAGUGAUAAACUGGAGGAAGGUGGGGAUGACGUCAAGUCAUCAUGGCCCUUACGACCAGGGCUACACACGUGCUACAAUGGCAUAUACAAAGAGAAGCGACCUCGCGAGAGCAAGCGGACCUCAUAAAGUAUGUCGUAGUCCGGAUUGGAGUCUGCAACUCGACUCCAUGAAGUCGGAAUCGCUAGUAAUCGUAGAUCAGAAUGCUACGGUGAAUACGUUCCCGGGCCUUGUACACACCGCCCGUCACACCAUGGGAGUGGGUUGCAAAAGAAGUAGGUAGCUUAACCUUCGGGAGGGCGCUACC